GAGAAAAUGGGCAGGGAGAGGAAUA
Molecule: non-coding RNA, 25 nt
Filed under: Cricetulus griseus (Chinese hamster)
Lineage: Eukaryota; Metazoa; Chordata; Mammalia; Rodentia; Cricetidae
Source: RNAcentral